GCAAGUGAGCGUCCCGGGGAGGGGCCAGGCAGGGCGCUGCAGGGCAGGGGGCUUCCUCCUUCCUGUCGCUGACUGCAGCUCACCCUUGGCACAAGCCUGCCCGGCGGCUCCCGGCAAUCAUAUUUUAUCAAAUACUGGGGUGAGAACCACUAGGUAAUUUGCUAACUAACCAAUCCCAGGCGUCACCUGUGACAAGAACAUGAAAUGCUGGAGCUGAGAGAGCAACGAAAGGAACAAGACAAAGCAGAAACCCAAGCAGGCUUAGAGGACCCCGGGUAAGCUUGGCACGGUGGACGGCAGCUCCUGCCCUCUUCCCUGCUGAAACCCAGCCCAAGGGCUCGUGUCGUGAAGCAGGAACAGCAGGAAGUGCCCAGCUGAGGUGAAUACCACAGUGUGCAGAAUCUCUUGUUCACCUGAGACAGGAGAUGGGCAGGCCUCUGGAGACUCGGUGACUGAGGACCUCACCUGGUUCAUUACCAAGUUCCUUAGUGAUGCUAAGAGCCUCAAAAUCCAGUACGCAGGGCUAGGGUGUAGCAGUGGCCUAGCACGCAGGAGGCCCAGGGUGUGAUCUCUAGCACAGCUCAGUAUGUUAAUUAAUUAAAAAUUUAAAACUCCAGUGCACAUGCCAGAAGUCAGGCCUGUGACCUUGGGAAGAGGCAGGUGCCAAGGGCCCGCGUGGGGAUGGACAUGCCAGCGUGGGCACUGAGCAGCCAGGCAGCACAGGGUGGGAGGCCCCGUGGCCCCAGGUGGCCUGGGCACCAGUACUGCCCACUGCCUGGCUGUGCCUCAGGGCGGGAGAGGGGCUCACUCAACUGCGUCGCAGAAGGCGGUUGUUGGGGGUGGGCAGGAGGCAGGAUCUGCCUUAUGGUAGGUCAGUUACACCAGGGCUCCCGAGCCUGGGGCUGCACCCUGCACCAGUCCUCGGCCUGUGGGAACGGGCCGUGCAGCAGGUGGACAGAGUGGACAAGCAAAGCUCCAUCUCUGUGGACACCAUCAACACUGCUCCCCACAUGGAGAUGGAGCACCCUGCAUUCCAGCCAAGCCGCUGGACUCUGUCAGAGGAAAAAAGGGACCACGAAGGACAGAACCAGUGACUGCAGGCCAUUGCUUCAGCUGGUGUGUGGGCCUCCCUCUCAGUGGCUCACAGCACCGCCAAAGCUGAGGAGCCCUUCCACAGGUGAAGGUGCCCCAGUUGCUGCUGAGGACCUUGUCAUGAACUUGUAGGGCAGGUGCGGUACAACCAGCGGCCCGUGCUCCUCUGUCGGCUAGCACCAUGACUAGAUGGUGCACCAAGGUACACAGACAGAAGGAUGCGUCUACGGAAGCUGGCAACAAGGCAUCAACGCUUGCUCUGUAUGAUUUAUUUUUCAGGAGGAUGUGCAUGAGGAUAUGCUAUGUGGACCUUUGUUACCAACUAAGACCACCCGAACUGCACUUCACAAACACUGACUUGGUCAGGUGCACAGACCGAGCAAAGAGUGGACGAUUUCUGGUUUGACUACUCGGGUCAAAGGCUGCUUCUGAAUGUCAUCCAUGGAGAAGUGCUGGCUAGCUGAAAAAUGUCACCUGAACUUAACAGUGUUCUGCAGGAUGUGACUAUCAAGCACAGUCCAGUGCAUGCCCUUAGCUCGGGUCAUUCACACAGCCGUGAGAGAAGAUGGACACAGAGCACAUACGUGUUCUCUUACACACAGUGGUGAGAGGGCUGCGGAUCUGAGAGCUGCUCCAGAGAUGACUUUUUUUUUGGUACCGGGGAUUGAACUCGGGACCUUGUGCUUGCGAGGCAGGCGCCGGAACCGCUGAGCUAAAUCCUCGGCCCUCCAGAGACGACUUUUAGAAAGAGUCACCACCGGCAGCACAUUUCGGUGAUGCAGAAUGGGUCACAAAUCUUGCUUACCUGUGUGACAUAUUCAGCCUGCUCAGUGAACUCAACCUCUCACUUCAGGGGGAACAACUGCUGUGCCCAGUCGGCAGACAGUGGCUGCGGCGAAGCCAAGCUGGGAUUAUGAGCGAUGAGUGACACUGGGUCACUGAUGUGUGCCAGACAUCAGCAGGGACUUUAACAGGACCUAGGCAUUCUUUCUCCCAGCUCGGAGACCAUGGGCUAACAGCUUUCAAAAGACACCGACCGGAAGGAAGGGUCCGUGGCCCACUUACGAACAAGCUACGUGAGCUGAUUUUGUCCGUGCUAGAGGAGAACCCACUGUGUGAGACUGUAAAAGGUGACAACUUCAGAUUUCCGUAUGUUCUGCGCCAAGUCAAGCUAGCGCAUCCUGAGUGUCACAGAAGCACUGACAAGCCUGCUUCCAUGUCUGAUUCCUGUCCUUGUGAGGCACGGUUUUCUUCAGUGACAGCAACCAGAACGAGCCUACGAAGUAGACUGGAGUUAAACAACACACUCCAGGGGUCACUGUCUCCCAGCACCCCAGAAGGGACCAUCUCCUCGCAGGAAAACAAGUCAGGGCUCCCACCGAUUCUUCAUUAUGUACUACAGUGUGCUAAUGAUGGAAAUACAGUGCACAAUAACUGGAAUGCACCUGACUCAUCCUGAAACCAUCCCCACCCCAGCCUGUAGAUAAAUGGACUUCCACGAUACUGGUCGCUGGUGCCGAAAGGUUGGGAACUGCUGGCUCAGACCAUGGAAGAGGAGCUGUGACUGCAGGCUGCAGGGGUGAGGAGGCCAGGGGUACAGGGGAAGUGGACCCAAGUCACACAUUUGCCUGACUGUCAGGGCGUGCAGAUGAGUGGCACGGUGUGUGAAAGGCAGUGUGAGGACCCGUGGCAUUCCAGAAGCAGGCAGAGAGCCACGAGGGUGACAGGGCGUUCCCAGACACUCCUGGGUCCCCUCCGGCCCGUGCCUGCUUGGCCGAGGCCCUGUGAGAGUUCUGGGUCUCCAGCUCUCCUGUGCCCUGGGUGCUGGGCCAGCCGUGAGCGCUGCACGUGCUCUCCGCAGGAGGAGUGAGAGCGGAGACUUGGGCAGCUGCAGCCCCAGGCGCUGCGUGGCUGUCCUCGAGAGAAUCUGGGAGUGCAGUCCGGCUCCGUCCUGGCUCUGACCCGCCGUGCAGCCCCCAGCACCCCCAGCAUGCCAUCACUCACACCUGCCUGUGUCCCAGCCCCACCCAGCGCAGCUGAUCCCUGCAGCUCCCUGCCCGCAGUGGUGCUGGCCGCCUGAGGGCACGGAGAGCGCCCACACCCUGGCAGAGCUGAGCUUGAGGACCGAGGGUGAGGCCCGAGCUGCAGGGGCGCCCUCACGGGUCUCUUGAGGGUGGGCGCAGUCACACAUUCCCGACUGAAGCUGGGAGCCUUUCCCAGUCCCAAGCUCUGCAGACUGCUUUCCCAGAAGCGAUCAGGAUCGAGCCACCCAGCCACCUCCCCGCUGUGUUUUCUACAAACUGGUGCUGCCUGGCCCCACAGCCUUUCUUGGUGACGCGGUCCCAAGGUUUGGGUGAAGGAACCGUGGAAGAACUGGUGACAGUGAAGGCCUCCUGUGCACCCUGCACACGCAUUCCACAUGGCCCUCGUGGGAACAGCUGCUCCUGCUGUGCAGUGCACCGGUCAGCCGAUGUGUCCACGGUGACAGGCGUUAGUUAGCACCCUUGGGCCACGGAUUAUGGGAGGGCUCACCUGGAGUGUUUUCCCUGGGUCUGGGCAGGCACACCCACCAUACGUAUUACUUUCAAAAACUGUGGUCAAGUACACAUAGGUUCAUCACGUGACCAUUCCUAGGGGAGUUCAGCGGCGCUGUGCACACUGCUGUGUAGCUGUCACGUCACCCAGCUCGGGCCUCCUAGAAGUGGGCCUGGGCAGUAUCUGUCCCCUUGUGACCAGCUUCUCUCUUGGCACGAUGUGCUCCAGGUCCAUCCAUGCCAUCACAGGUAUCGGAAUGUGCCUCCUUUUCAAGGCUGAGUGAGGUUCUCUGCCGUGAAUGACUCAUUUGGCUUACUGGUCACCCACUGAGGACACUUGGGCACCUUCCACCACCCGGCUGUUGAGAGGAAUGCUCUGAGCUCCUUUGAGACCCGUUUGCAAUUCUUUCAGGUACUCACAAUUUGCCUCGCAUUUGCAGGGUCCACAUUCACAUAUUUACGCAAAUACAAACUGGAAACAUUUGUUUAAAAAAUAUAUACAUACCUGUGCUGAACCUGCACAGAACCGUUUCUUUGUGGUUACUCCCUAAACGAUACAGUGUAGCAGCUAUUGACACAGCACUUCCAUUGCAUGAGGUGUUCACAGUAUCCAGAGGAUGUGUGUGGGUUCUAUGCAAAUACUAUGUCAUUUUAUACCCGGUAAGUGAACUGAGUCUGAGGCAGUGGUGUGUCUGCUCAGCUGUCAGGAGCAGCACAGGCUGGGACUUCACUGCAAGUGCAUGCCAGGUGCGGGCCAGACCCUCUCCAGGUGAGGGCCACCUCCCCACUUCAGAGGGAGCCCAGGUGCCUCCCCUUCUGAUGAAAACACCCGUUCACAGUUGUCACAGACGUGGACGCUCAGGUGGCCUCAAGUGCUGGUGGGGCUGCUCAGGCUGCCUCUGCACCCUUCUCUGUGCCCAGGGCUGGUGAGUGCGCCCCUUCCCCAUGAGGCAGGGACCUCUCUACCCUGCACCACACCCCCAUACCUCAAAGGACCCUGUCCUGUUCAGUGAUCAAGGUUUGCAGGGGCAUAAGUGCAUCGCUAGCAAGCCCUGCACCUCCCUUCCCGUGCACCCCUAGAAUACCAGAAUGCCAGCGACAGAGGAACACUGGGUUUGAAAAGGAAUUAGUGAGUGAUCAUCCUGGUACAAGUCGACCUGUGUGAGCUCAUAUCCAAGGUGCUUCAGGGGGUGCCGACGAGAGGGUGGGGUGGACUCGAGGAAGAGGGUAUUCUUGCAGCCUUGCAGGGUUUCCCCAGAUCACUGCUCAUGGGGGGCAGCAGCCAUUCUGUGUGGGUGUGGGCAGUGGGAGGAGACAACAGCUUUGUCAUGUGACCAAAAGGAACACCACCAAGAAGGGGCAGCCAGGCCAAGGGCUCCGGGUCUGACGUCCAAGAAAGAUGGUGGGACACAGUGCUCCAUCCCAACACACGCAGCUCGAGUCCCCCGACGGUACUGGACCACCCAGCAGAGGGCCGUUCUGCCAGCAAGCAGCUGGCAUCAUUCAAAAGCAGCAAUGUCAUCGAGACGGGGAAGCCGAGGAAACACGGCAGGCGGAGACCAGAGAGACAACGAUGAAACACCGUUUGUGAGGCCCCGACUCAGUCCUGGGCCAGUAGAGGCUGUCAGAGUGAGAACGUGAACUGCAGACCAGACGAAACACAGUGCUUCCAUCUCUGAACUGCUGUGGUUGCACAGGAGAAUAUUCCCAUUGCUAGGGAACGAACAUCAGUGGUAGUGAGUAAAGGGACCUGAGGCUGGGCGUGGUAAGUCGUCCCAGCAGUCAGGAGGCUGAGGCAGGAGGAUCAGUGUAAAGGCAGCCCAGGCCGUCUCGAGAAAAAAGAGGCCAAGAGUUGUGCAGUUAAGCAGGGAAGAAGGAAGGGGAGGACGGGUGGAGGCGCAGCAAGCAGCUCGAGCAUGUAACAAAAUGUUACAAUUUGAGAAAUCUGGGGCAAGAGUAUGUGAGAGGUUAUGUGGUUUUUGUUUCUAUUUCCCCAACUUUCCUGGUUAGUUCAAACUGGGCUCGGUGGUGCAUGCCUAUAAUCCUGGACAUUCAGGAGGCUGAAGCAGGAGGAUAAUAAGUCCAAGGCCAGUCUGGGCUCCACUCUGUGUCAAAAAAAAUAAAUAAAUAAAAU
RNAcentral lists this long non-coding RNA (5760 nucleotides) under Heterocephalus glaber (naked mole-rat). RNAcentral's name for it is "lncRNA (ENSHGLG00000042432.1)". Lineage: Eukaryota; Metazoa; Chordata; Mammalia; Rodentia; Bathyergidae. The record is from RNAcentral.